GCUAGCCAAGGUGACAAUGACAAUCUCUGGUUCUUGCGGUGAUUUGAGCGUGUGAUUCAGAUCAUGCUGUGGGGCCUCUUCGGAUCCAAACCCAGGGCAGGCCCAGCAGCCAGACGGAAAAGGCCCUGUAGCAAUCCAUAACGUAUGCAGCAGAGAACAACCUGAAGCGUGUGCUACCAUGGAGGGCAGCCUCAUGAAGUUGAGCCAUUGUAACUUUCUCCGUCUCCUUCUCCAUCCUGCACUCCUCACCUUCCCAGAGAACCAGUGACCUGCACAUUUGGGUUCUCCGAUUUGGAGUAGAAACGGCCAUUUUGGAAAGUAAGAGAGCACCGUGAGUCUGCGCCAUGACAGCGGAGAAGAGGAAGCAGAGGCACUGGAGAUCGAGGGACACCAGAGCCACCACCCAAUCUCUUCAGAAAACCCUGCCAGUUCCGAGGCCUGCGUCUCCUCUCCUUCCUGUGGAGGACAACAGUCCUGCCAGCCUCACCUCAGAUUUGGGAAGCUUCUGGAAGCUGAAAUACCGCAAUACGCAUGUGCACCCCGUGGUGGGAAGUGCUGAAUCCAAAGCAUGAGAGAAUAUGGAGGCCGGUUGGGUUCCGCUGGGAGCCCCUAGCCUUGGUGAGGAGGAUUAGAUCUGGGCGGGGCGGAAGGGGGCGCUCUUCCCACUUAAUCUGUUCCCAAAGAAUCCACAGGCACUGGGAGUUCUCUCUUGUUCUCCACAGUCCUCUUCAACACAGUAGUUCUGCGACUCUGCUGUUGUUUGUCUCCUUUUUGGGU
RNAcentral lists this long non-coding RNA (777 nucleotides) under Rattus norvegicus (Norway rat). RNAcentral's name for it is "long non-coding RNA NONRATT029149". Lineage: Eukaryota; Metazoa; Chordata; Mammalia; Rodentia; Muridae. The record is from RNAcentral.